RNAcentral lists this long non-coding RNA (685 nucleotides) under Homo sapiens (human). RNAcentral's name for it is "TAT antisense RNA 1, transcript variant 2 (TAT-AS1)". The record is from RNAcentral. Lineage: Eukaryota; Metazoa; Chordata; Mammalia; Primates; Hominidae.
GGGUUGGGAUGUUGGUGUCGGCUGGGGGCUGCUGUGAGGCGCUUGGUAGCACCCAGUCCUGAUACUCUCCAGUUACCCGGUAGGCGGGGCUCGGACACAAAGAAAAGAGAUCUUUGGGGGCUUGGAUGGAGGAACAGGAAAAGAGGAGCCAGGCUUUUUUGGAAAAUUGGCGGCAGCGGUGGCAUACGGGAAACUGAAAUCUUUAUCUAAUCUCAUCCUUUGUAUAUUCGUCUUGGAUUUGCUGAAGAAAAUUAAAAGGCCAGGCCUACCACUCCUAUGGCACAGUAUUGAUGAGAGACAUCAGUGGAGCUCCCCACCUCCACCCCAGGCUUGGAACUUAGGGAAUGACUGGUUUUUGUCAUUUCACACAACAGCUGAAGGAUUCUGUCCCCACCUCGUCCUCUGUGAAGUCUGCUGGACGUACCUGCCAGAAUCUUCUGAAGAUGACGUUUGCUGAACACUGACCCACAGGGGUUUGAUGGAUUAUUGACAAUGAGACAAGCUGUCUUUUCAUCAAUUAGAUAUUCCAGUUGUUUCAGGUCAAUUUCCCAAGAUUUCUCUGGCUGGAGAGAAAGAAAGGAUGAGACUAAGAUGAUUCUGAAACAUUUAGGGGGAAUCCUCACUUAUCUCAAGGGUCCAAUGUAAGCAAUAAAGUCUGUCUCUGGCUUCAACCACCAAAAAAAAA